UAAGUGGAGAUGGGUUGGCUACUUCAUUCAGUGAAUACUGAAUGUCUUGCUAUCUCUGGGAGUAUGUUAAUGACAGCUUUUCAGCUGUUGAACUAUGGCAAUGUCGAACUAAUUUCUAAAUCUCUUUCUUUUAGUCAAGAAGAUGUGAUGAGCCAGAUCAACCAUUCAGCUUCAAUGCAGCUGUUCAACCCACCACUGCCACUGCUCUACCUCCACAAUGUUGUUGCUCUCUCCAUGUCACCGGUGGAUGACACGUUUAUCUCGGGAUCAUUGGAUAUGACCAUACGACUCUGGGACCUGCACUCUCCCAACUGUCAGGGCUACAACAACAUUUCACUCGAGGCCUGCUGCUUCACCCCAGACUCAGAGUUUGUCAUGAUUGGUGAGCCCAGCACCUCCAAGUCCCAACAUUAGAACUUGGCAAACUAGGCUGUCUUACCCAGCCCUCCCUGAUCCACGGAAAUCUAAUAUCAGAACAACUCAACACAAUUUCAAGUCUGACGCUCAAGACAAUUCUAGGGUCACCCAAAUCAAUUUGCCAUUUGACCCAAUUAGCUGAUAUUAUUACUAUCUGAACUCCAAUAAAUCCAGAGGUUUGUAUAACUAUUUUCCCUCAAUCCAUCAUCAAUAACCACCUAACUAACCCUCAGAGAGUGCGAUGAAAAUAGCUGUUUUGGAUGGGAAGCAUUCUUUACUAAUCAACACACUGCAGUUGAAUUUAAAUACAUGUUUGCCAGCGCCUGCUCCAAUAUGGUGAGACACACACACAAACACUUUCAUCAGCCAAACACUCACUCACUCAGACACGCGUACAUUGUCUUUCACUGGCCCCUGCCAACCUCUACCCCCAUGCUCUCUGUUUCUCUCUUUACAGGCAUCUUGGCUUCCCAGUGUAGGAGACUGAUAAAGGAGUGGGGCCACAGAGAAACUGUCAUCAUCAUUACCCAGCAUGUCUUUCUCCUUUCAUGUUGCUCUGAGUAUGCAAAUGCUUAACACUGUGAACUCUUAAUGGCUCCAGAUAAAAUUGUAUGCACACUAAGGCAUUGGUGAAAGGGAUUCCAAUGUCGAUUAUCCCUGAGGAGAGCUGUCACUCUAUACACUGAUUGAUUUGCCAAAUAGGGAAGGUUACAUAAGGGGAGCACUAGAGCUGUGGUUAGUUAUUACUAUUGUCCACCUGUGGCCUGCAGAUAAGUUGAGAUACAUUUUUCUAAGAGUAGAGAAGACCUGAGGUGUACUACUGCCAAACACUUGUUUAGAUAUCUUGUUUUUUUUACUGUGAUUCUGAGCAAACUGCCACAUAAUGUUAAUAAGUAGAGAGUUAUGUAUGAACUUGUAACUUUUUGAUACAAUGACAAACUUCAAUCAAGUGUUAAUUUGACCUGCUGAUACAUGUUUUAUUGGGAAUUCAAUGUUAGUGUUUUUUGUACGGUUUAUUCUGAAAGUAUUCAAAUGUUUUAAUGUCUACUUUUUAUGUCCUUAAACUCUGGUGUUUUUCAUUGGUGUGUGCAUUUGUGUGUGCGUGCACAUAAAGUGUAUCUGUGUGUAUAGUAGAGAGGGGGCCUCUGUUGAAUAAUGUAUAGAACCUUGGAGCUUACUGAAUUAUGGAUGAUCCCAUCACAGGUAACCUCACAGGUACACACUCAUCUUUCUCUCACCACCUAUGUGUGUGUGUGUGUGUGUGUGUGUGUGUGUGUGUGUGUGUGUGUGUGUGUGUGUGUCUUUCUGUCUCUAUCUCUCAUACACACAGUCACAAUCAGACAUAUUGCUAAUGAAAGAGCUUUGUUCUGAGUUUUUGUACCUGGCCAUUGUCUCGGUCCUUAAGUACUGACCAUUAAAAAACCUACCAUUCCUG
This is a long non-coding RNA of Oncorhynchus kisutch (coho salmon), 1852 nucleotides long. NCBI's taxonomy places the organism in Eukaryota, Metazoa, Chordata, Actinopteri, Salmoniformes, Salmonidae. The record is from Ensembl.